UCUAAAUAUACCCGUGUGUGUAUCUGUGUGCGUGCGUGUGUGCGCUCGCGCGUGCUCGCAUGUAUGUAUGUAUGCGCGUGCGUCUGUGUAUUUUGAAUUUAAAAUGUUUUAACUCGGAAGGAUCUGGAUCACAGGUCAUUUCAUCUGAGAUCAUUCCGCACGCAACAGCUGGAAUCACUUACUGAUUCACACAAGUCAGCCAUUUCCUCAAGUUCACGUCAGAGCGGAGAUGAUGUGAGAGGCAAACCCGAGACAUAGCGAAACAGUCUCCGCUUGGACUGGGUGAGGAAAGUCUCCUAAAUGGCCCUGGAGAUGUUCUGACUGACUUUGGAGGCUUUUUGGACUGUUUUAUGCCCUCUAUUUAAAGAAGACUUAAUUCUGUAUGUUCAGUCUGUAUGAUAAGUGAAUAAGUGAAUAAAAAGCUUUUGUUUUUAUGUGA
This is a non-coding RNA of Misgurnus anguillicaudatus (oriental weatherfish), 439 nucleotides long. NCBI's taxonomy places the organism in Eukaryota, Metazoa, Chordata, Actinopteri, Cypriniformes, Cobitidae. The record is from RefSeq and is a predicted model, not a curated record.